AUGGCGUCGACCACCACCAGGCUCGUGUGUGCACCCCUGUUCCUGCUCUUGCUCUCCAUGUCCAAUGCCAACUCAGUCCAAGAGACCGGCAGCUCCCUCAAAAGCUCCACUCAGAAGAAUGUGUUCGUCCUCGACAACUACGGCGCCCGUGGCGACGGGAAGCACGACGACACGCAGGCCCUGGCCAAGGCGUGGAACGCGGCGUGUUCCUCGUCCCGGCCGGCCGUGCUGCUCGUACCCAAGGGCAAAACCUAUCUGCUCAAGGCCAUCACCCUCUCUGGCCCGUGCAGAUCCAGCAUCGUCUUCAAGGUGAAGGGCACACUCAUCGCUCCUCCGAGCAUGUCGGCGUGGACCGAGAACAACAGGAGGCGCUGGAUCUUCCUCCAGCGCAUCACCGGCCUCACCGUCAAUGGUGGCGGCACCAUCAACGGCAACGGUGAGAUCUGGUGGCAGAACUCGUGCAAGACCAACAAGGCUCUGCCGUGCAAGGGGGCUCCCACGGCCCUGACGUUUCACCUCUGCACUAAUCUAAAGGUGGACAACCUGAAACUUGUAAACAGCCAACAAAUCCAUGUGUCGGUUCAGGACUGCAGCAACGUGCACUUGGCCCGGCUGACCAUCACCGCGCCUGGCACCAGCCCAAACACCGACGGCAUCCACGUCACCCACAGCAAAUAUGUGCAGGUCAGAGAUUGUCUCAUCAAGACCGGCGAUGACUGCAUAUCCAUCGAGAACGGAACUCACGAUCUUCAUGUCACAAAAGUUGUUUGUGGCCCGGGACAUGGCAUCAGCAUUGGAAGCUUAGGAGACGGCAACUCCAGAGCCGAGGUAUCCCGUAUUUACAUCGACACCGUGCGAUUGUAUGGCACGACCAAUGGAGCCCGGAUCAAGACAUGGCAGGGAGGGAGUGGAUACGCCGAGGAUAUCGUAUUCCAGAAUAUGAUCAUGGAUGCCGUGCAAAAUCCAAUUAUCAUUGACCAAAACUACUGUGACUCCGCCAAGCCAUGCAAGAGCCAGAAUUCGGCGGUAGAGGUACGGGAUGUGGCGUUCAAGAAUAUUCGAGGGACUACCAUUUCCAAGGAUGCCAUCAAGCUGAGUUGUAGCAAGGAUCUCCCGUGUUCUGGCAUUGCCUUAGAGAACAUCGACCUUAAAUUGGAGGGUGGGAAGGGUGACACCGAGAGUACCUGCCAGAACGCAAAAUGGAGGAAGUCAGGAAAUGUUGUUCCACUACCAUGUAAAGGAAAAAAUUAA
Molecule: ribosomal RNA, 1251 nt
Filed under: Triticum aestivum (bread wheat)
Lineage: Eukaryota; Viridiplantae; Streptophyta; Magnoliopsida; Poales; Poaceae
Description: partial small subunit ribosomal RNA
Source: RNAcentral